RNAcentral lists this ribosomal RNA (492 nucleotides) under uncultured bacterium. RNAcentral describes it as "partial 16S ribosomal RNA". It matches the Rfam family "Bacterial small subunit ribosomal RNA", at positions 29 to 507 of the family's 1533-position model. The record is from RNAcentral.
AGUGAACGCUGGCGGUAGGCCUAACACAUGCAAGUCGAACGGCAGCACAGUAAGAGCUUGCUCUUACGGGUGUCGAGUGGCGGACGGGUGAUGAAUACAUCGGAAUCUACUUUUUCGUGGGGGAUAACGUAGGGAAACUUACGCUAAUACCGCAUACGACCUACGGGUGAAAGCAGGGGAUCUUCGGACCUUGCGCGAUUGAAUGAGCCGAUGUCGGAUUAGCUAGUUGGCGGGGUAAAGGCCCACCAAGGCGACGAUCCGUAUCUGGUCUGAGAGGAUGAUCAGCCACACUGGAACUGAGACACGGUCCAGACUCCUACGGGAGGCAGCAGUGGGGAAUAUUGGACAAUGGGCGCAAGCCUGAUCCAGCCAUACCGCGUGGGUGAAGAAGGCCUUCGGGUUGUAAAGCCCUUUUGUUGGGAAAGAAAAGCAGCAGGUUAAUACCCCGCUGUUCUGACGGUACCCAAAGAAUAAGCACCGGCUAACUUCGUG